UUGGCCAACCAGCUUCUGCGUGGAAAUAUGCAGUGGAUUGGCCGCCAUUGUCAGACCUCCUUUCCCUUCCGCGCCACCGCCAAUUGCCCUAACAUUGUAAGCCUCCGUCUUUGCAAUUCCAAAUUACUCUUCGAUUUCCGCUGCGGAGGUUUGAUUUCGUUUUCAGUUGUGUUUGGAUCGUCGUAAUCUGCGCUCUUCGGCGAUUCGUCUCCCAACUUUACGAAAUCAGCAGUGCCACUGUUUUCAGAUCAGAGCGGGCAUGGUUUUGCCGGUGGUUUCGAUUCCGCAUACGCCUCUCGGUAUAUACAACGGGAACGGUAGUAGCUGGAGCGCCGGCGGUGGCGAUGGCGGUGGCGGCUAUAGUUCCGUGCAAUCGUUGCCAGUUUUUGCAGUCUCUUCUGUUGGUGGAGAAAAUGUGGCAAGGAAUAGAAGGAUUGCUUGUGCUUGUGUCACGCCGUCUCAGGAUUUUACGCCGGUAAAUUUUGCGGGUGGUGGUAAUCAGAUGGAAAACUUAAGCGUUGAGAAUAAACAUGACAAUGAUUCUGAUGUGCUGAUUGAAUGCAGAGAUGUGUUCAAAUCCUUUGGGGAAAAACAUAUCUUAAGAGGUGUGAGCUUCAAGAUUAGGGAUGGAGAGGCUGUUGGAAUUAUUGGACCAUCUGGAACAGGCAAGUCAACCAUCUUGAAGAUUAUAGCAGGACUGCUAGCUCCCGAUAAGGGUGAGGUUUUUAUUCGAGGUAGAAGGCGGGAUGGUUUGAUCAGCGACGAGGAAAUAUCCGGUCUUAGAAUUGGCUUGGUGUUCCAGAGUGCUGCCCUUUUUGAUUCUUUGACUGUUCGAGAAAAUGUUGGUUUUUUGUUAUAUGAGAAUUCAACUAUGUCUGAAGAUCAAAUUGCUAAGAUGGUGACAGAGACUCUAGCUGCAGUUGGAUUGAAGGGAGUUGAGGACAGGUUACCUUCUGAAUUGUCUGGAGGGAUGAAAAAGAGAGUAGCUCUUGCUCGUUCCAUAAUAUUUGAUACAACAAGCGAUGCUGUGGAACCCGAGGUGCUCCUGUAUGACGAGCCGACUGCUGGUCUAGAUCCAAUUGCAUCGACUGUUGUGGAAGAUCUCAUUCGCUCUGUGCAUACAAAAGGCACCGAUGCCCUUGGGAAGCCCGGGAAUAUUGCAUCCUACGUUGUUGUUACUCAUCAACACAGCACAAUCAGAAGAGCUGUUGAUAGGCUAUUAUUUUUGCACGAAGGAAAAGUUGUUUGGCAGGGAAUGACUCAUGAAUUCUCCUCCUCAUCAAAUCCGAUUGUUCGGCAGUUUGCAUCGGGGAGCUUGGAUGGCCCAAUUAGGUAUUAAUUAGUGUCAACAAGAAGACAUACAUGAAGAAGAUGUAAAUGAAGAUGAAGAAAGAGAUCUUAAUAAAUGAGUCCCCAAAUGUUGAAUUGAUCUAGUCUCGAGCAGCGCCGCGCCACCGGAGAUCAGAAACACUUGGUGGUGCACGGUUGCUUGGAAUAUCUGGACUGAUGACCAGGCCUUGUGAUCCUUAAGCAAUUGCAUACAAAUUUGUCAGAUGAAGGUGAGAAUAUGCAAAUUUCAUGAGAUGGAAAGGCAAUGGCACUCAAAACUUUAAAAAAAAGUUACCCAUGGUAGUCUCUGACUUUAUUUGUGAAUUUUCAAUUCAAAAUUUUACUAUUUACUAAUUUUUUCCUUAUAAAAAAUAUUGAGUCAACACCUAUUUUGUAUUGAUUAAUUUUACAUUCGAGUCAUCAC
This is an RNA transcript of Andrographis paniculata, 1753 nucleotides long. It is a transcript of the gene named protein TRIGALACTOSYLDIACYLGLYCEROL 3, chloroplastic, with no coding region annotated. The record is from RefSeq and is a predicted model, not a curated record. The transcript has 11 exons. Lineage: Eukaryota; Viridiplantae; Streptophyta; Magnoliopsida; Lamiales; Acanthaceae.